Molecule: ribosomal RNA, 200 nt
Filed under: uncultured bacterium
Lineage: Bacteria
Description: partial 16S ribosomal RNA
Rfam family: Bacterial small subunit ribosomal RNA
Source: RNAcentral
AACGAACGCUGGCGGCAGGCUUAACACAUGCAAGUCGAACGCCCCGCAAGGGGAGUGGCAGACGGGUGAGUAACGCGUGGGAAUCUACCCAGUUCUACGGAACAACACAGGGAAACUUGUGCUAAUACCGUAUACGCCCUACGGGGGAAAGAUUUAUCGGAAUUAGAUGAGCCUGCGUUGGAUUAGCUAGUUGGUGGGGU